Molecule: ribosomal RNA, 253 nt
Filed under: uncultured bacterium
Lineage: Bacteria
Description: partial 16S ribosomal RNA
Rfam family: Bacterial small subunit ribosomal RNA
Source: RNAcentral
UACGUAGGGUGCGAGCGUUGUCCGGAAUUAUUGGGCGUAAAGGGCUCGUAGGCGGUUUGUCGCGUCGGGUGUGAAAACCUCGGGCUUAACUCGGGGCUUGCUUUCGAUACGGGCAGACUGGAGGUAUGCAGGGGAGAACGGAAUUCCUGGUGUAGCGGUGAAAUGCGCAGAUAUCAGGAGGAACACCCGUAGCGAAGGCGGCACUCUGGGCCGAUACUGACACUGAGGAGCGAAAGCGUGGGGAGCGAACAGG